Molecule: non-coding RNA, 3127 nt
Organism: Vicugna pacos (alpaca)
Lineage: Eukaryota; Metazoa; Chordata; Mammalia; Artiodactyla; Camelidae
Source: RefSeq, a predicted model, not a curated record
AGGAGACAUUUGUUAGUGGUUUCUGAUGUAUGAGUCUGAAGGACCUGUCACGUUGAGCCACAGAAUGACUUUAAUUAGCUGCCUGUCUGAAAUGCCCUGUCGAUGUGGUCCAUUAAAGCCAUACCAUCUGACAAAAGAAGAUGUGAAAAGAUGCAUAGAGGCUGGCUGCGAACACGAGGCACACCACUCAUUUUUGCCUGCACCUCCACACUUCUAAUAAAAGAUAUACACAAACCCAGAAAACAGACUUCGGAUUGAGAGCAGCAAGACGAAAUCCUAACAACCUGUUGAAUCUCGUCACCCUGAAGUAACAGGAGCUGGGAGAUGGGGAAAAUGGAACAGCGGCUUUGCUGGAGUUCCCCGUUCACUCUUCCUGCCCCACCUCUCCUACAGUCUCCUGAUACAGGAGCUCUGAAGGUCUCAGACAAGAUGCGUGAGGUAAAAAGAAAGUGAAAAUGUGUUCUUAUGAGACAAUUUUUAAGAGUUGCAACAAUACCUGGCCUAGAAAUUCCCUUCCCUCUAAAUUUUAGAAUUACAAAUAACCACUGUAAAUUCUUAUCACUUUGAUUUGAAUGGUGUCUAAAAAAGUGCAAGGUCAAAGAGCUAAUUCCAAACUUUGAAAGUGUGGUUCUGUGGCCACAUACAUGUAAAGGAAAAACUGAGUAAGGGAGGAAGAAGGGAAGUGAUUACUCUGAAUCCAAAGGCUAGGUCAGUGUUAAUCCUCAAGUUGAUGACACUUGCUCGGCUGGUCACAGCAUUUGCUCUAUCUGAUUGGCAAUUUGAGUUCGUGGUAUUACAUAAGAGUGUCAGGAUCUACAGAGCAGUUUAGACAUGAGUCUGUACCUUCAUAUAGCUUUAAUCUAGUGGAAGACACAGGAGAAUCACAGGGGAAGUUAAUAUAAAUGCCUCUCAGUUAGCCUAGUUCCAAAGCCAUGAGGGUCUGGAGCAGUGCGCUGGGACCUCUGGGUCUGCAUCACUUAUGAGGGUAGAAGGUGCAGAGAAAACAUCUUUGGCUGCACAGUCAGUUCUGUUGUAUACAUUUGCUAGAUCCAGCUGUGUUUCCUAAAGACUGAACAUAUUGUUCUGACUAUUUGUAUUCUUGGCAUCCAACCCUGCCGCACAUUUCCAAGCGCCAGGAGCACGCAGCACAGCAGUCCUUCCCUGAAAGGCUGUAAAGCCACGACUAGUUUCUUCUCCCAAAGACCCAAGGUACUUGUUAAAGCACGAGAGCUGUUUCAAUGGAUACGGCUCUGAGUUAAGUGUGUGGCAACACAGUCUUAGGGAGACAGAGUUCCUUUGCCUAACAGUCUCCGUAUUUGUCAAAACUACUGUAGGUCAAAGGUUAGCAGUAGCGUCUGGCAGCACAAGACCAAAUCCAAAAAGCUUAACUAGGCUGGGCCAGUGAGCCCAGUUCCUGCGACAGCCUCCUCUCUCCAUGACUCAAAGUCCGGGUCCAUGCUGCUGCAGAGCGGAAGUUCACAGGUGAUGAGGGAUGUACGUCAGAUGUGCAAGCACAGCGGUAACCUCGGUGAUGCUUUCAGUCCCAGAGAGGGAUGCAGAAGCUGGCUUUGUCACAGCUCUCGGGGGAUGUUACAGAAUUUCCAAAAACAUGUGUAUCUAUUGACUGUGUCUUUAAAAUACAAAGAUAAGAUUUUUAGGUAGUUCAGUUCCAGAGAGAGGCAGAAGCGUUAAAAGUGCAUGCUAAGAUUGACUGUGACGGGAGGGCAUUGGAGGGAUAUUAACCUCGCUUGAGAAAGGAUGGAAAGCAGUGUCGAGACAAAGGGGCCACUACUAGACCCCCAGAGACCCUAACUCACUCCACAGUCUAAGUACUGGAGACAAAUACACCAUCCAGACUGCAUACACCAUGACUGAGCACCUCCACUUUGCACCAUCUCUGACACGGAAGGAUUAAUAGGCAGGUUUCUAGAGGAAAAUGAGGCCUAAAUUAAGGUUGAGAAUGCAAACUGAAACAAACGAGAGGGUGUCACUCUUACAAAGUCUAGGCUGAAUCUCUCGUGAGACAUCUGAUGUCUCAGAUGUCUGUGUGUUUGACAUACUAGUUAUCAAAGCAUGAUACAUCAAAAUGCACUGUGUCCUGUCACUAACCCUGACCUAAAGAUGAAAUUAAAUGCUACAUAGGCAUGGAAAAUCAAGAAAAAAUAGGAUUUGUCUCAGCAAAAGUCUUUAAAAGUUUAAUACCUCUAGAUACACAAUUUUAACUUAGAGAAAUUUAUUCUAAGUAAAUAUUUAGAGAAUAUUUAGUUACAAGAACAUCCAUCACUGUUUUUAGGGGUGGGAUGGCUAUGAAAAACUGAAAGUUAUGUAAAUAUUUGUCCAACAAUAAUACAUUGUAUGGUAUAUUUAUGAUAAUGGAAUAAUUUAUAGCCUUUAAAAAGCGAUGUUAUGGAAACAAAUAAUCCAAUUAAAGACAACAAGUAUUGGUGGGGCCGUGGGGAAAAUGAAACCCUUGCGCACUGUUAGUGGGAAUGCAAAAUGGGGCAGCUGCUGUGGAAAACAGUAUAGAGGUUUCUCAAAAAAUUAAAACUACAACUGCCAUAUGUUUCAGCAAUCCUACUUCUGGGUAUAUAUCCAAAAGAAUUGAAAUCAGGGGCUCUAAGAGAUAUCAGUACUACCAUAUUCAAUACAGUACUAUUAACAAUAGCCAAGAUAGCCAAGAUGUGGAAACAAACUAAAUGUCUAUUGACAGACGAAUGAGUAAAAAAAAUGUGGUACACACAUACAAAGAAAUAAUAUUCAGACUUAAAAUGGAAGGAAACUCCAAUAUCCAAUAACAUGGAUGAAAUUUGAUGACAUUACACUAAGUGAAAUUCACAGAAAGACAAACACUCCAUGAUUUCCCUUACAUCAAAUAUCAAAAAUAGCAAAAUUCAUAGAAUCAGAGAGUGGAUUGGUGGUUUCCAGGGACUGAGAGAGAGGGAAACAGGGAGUUACUAAUCAAUGGGUAUAAAGUUUCAUUUAAGCAAAAUGAGUAAGUUCCAGAGAUCUGCUGUAUAGUUUUGUCCCUAUAGUCAAAAAAAGUCCAGUGCACUUGAAAAUUUGUUGAGAGAGUAGAUCUCAUGUGUCUUUUUUGACUUUUUUUUUAUUGAGUUAUAGUCAUUUUACA